AGGUAGCCAAGUGGAGUAAGGCAAU
RNAcentral lists this transfer RNA (25 nucleotides) under Hemiptelea davidii. RNAcentral's name for it is "partial tRNA-His". The record is from RNAcentral. Lineage: Eukaryota; Viridiplantae; Streptophyta; Magnoliopsida; Rosales; Ulmaceae.